ACGUAAUGUCUACAACGUUAAUGCAUUGGAUCUCACUGGAACUCAACAAUUAAGAGAGUUUGGGAUAAAGUAGUAUUGGGAUGGGUGACCUCUCGAGAAGUUCGAGUGUUUUACAUG
Non-coding RNA from Picea glauca (white spruce), 117 nucleotides. The record is from Rfam. Lineage: Eukaryota; Viridiplantae; Streptophyta; Pinopsida; Pinales; Pinaceae.